CCUACGGGAGGCAGCAGUGAGGAAUAUUGGUCAAUGGACGCAAGUCUGAACCAGCCAUGCCGCGUGCAGGAAGACGGCUCUAUGAGUUGUAAACUGCUUUUGUACGAGGGUAAACGCAGAUACGCGUAUCUGUCUGAAAGUAUCGGACGAAUACGGAUCUGCUAACUCCGUGCCAGCAGCAGAGGUAAUACGGAGGAUUCAAGCGUUAUCCGGAUUGAUUGGGUUGAAAGGGUGCGUAGGCGGUCGGAUAAGUUAGAGGUUAAAUCCCGAGGCUCAACUUCGGAAUUGCCUUUGAUACUGUUCGGCUAGAGAGUAGUUGCGGUAUGCGGAAUGUAUGGUGUAGCGGUGAAAUGCUUAGAGAUCAUACAGAACACCGAUUGCGAAGGCAGCUUACCAAGCUACUUCUGACGUUGAGGCACGAAAGCGUGGGGAGCAAACAGGAUUAGAUACCCUGGUAGUC
Molecule: ribosomal RNA, 460 nt
Filed under: uncultured bacterium
Lineage: Bacteria
Description: partial 16S ribosomal RNA
Rfam family: Bacterial small subunit ribosomal RNA
Source: RNAcentral